This is a long non-coding RNA of Athalia rosae (coleseed sawfly), 1503 nucleotides long. RefSeq lists it as uncharacterized. The transcript has 4 exons. Lineage: Eukaryota; Metazoa; Arthropoda; Insecta; Hymenoptera; Athaliidae. The record is from RefSeq and is a predicted model, not a curated record.
AUGCAUUAUCCUCUUAACACGAAGAGAGUCGCGUGCUUAAAUCGAUCAUUCAAAAAUGUCCCGUGUCAAAGACUUUUUGAAACAGCAUCGCUUUUACUUAAUAGCUGUUCCAUGUUUGACCGGGCAAUUUUGGUUAUGGCUUAAAAUACAACAAGAUGAACGUCUCGUACCCAGACACGAAGGGUCGUUGACCAAAGGCAGGGACAGUUAAGAAAGAGAGAAAUAUUUUGCUUACUGCUCUCUAUCAGUUUGCAAAAAGCAGAGUAGGAUUGGAAUUACCGAUAUUAACCCAACGUAUUCCUGAUGUUGUCCGUGAACCGGAGUAGAUUGAUUCAGUUGACUGCAAUGUCUUCAGAGAAGCUCAGAGAAGAGUUUCACCAUUGAGGCUUCAUGCUACUAUGACAACCUUUCAUCGGAUACUUCCUUAUUCUAUAGAGAAAACUGUUGACUAAAACGAGAAAAUUCAGGAAGCCGCAUCAUCUGAGGCUGUGUACUGAACUCUAUCAAUUGUAUAUAGAUUUAUGUGGCUAAUAAACUAGUUUACAACUCAAGUCUACUUUAUAUAAUUAUUGUCAAUUUAUGUGUAAUGAAUUUGAAUUGAAAUUUGUUUAACUUUAGACUUAUUACAUGACUUAAUCUGAGUUUUUCCAAUUUUUCUCCAUUUUUCCCGAUUUAUUUUCGAUUUUUUAAUGACUUAUUCAAUUACCCCAUCUUACCCGCCGAAGAAGUGACAGGCAGCGCCGAGUAGCGUAACACCGGCCCGCGGCACUUGCCUGAACUAAAAUUCCAAGUUUCUUGCCCCUUGACUCACCGAGACCCGCCUUACAGCGGAGGAGUCGCGUGUGAUGCGGGUGCAUCUAUCAUCAGGCGCUUUGGUCGCGGACCCGCGUGUAAUGCGGGAGUGCAUAUCGCUAGGCGCAUUGAGGGGCUGGGGAAGAUGCGGCGAUUGAAUAAUUAAUGCACUCGAAAUAUCUAUGAAUUGAUUAAAGAAUCGGAUUGCAUCAUAGAUAUAUUGAACAAUAUAUAUUGAAUAAUAUAUAGUGUUCAAUAUAUCUAUGAUUGGAUCUAGAAAUAAACUCGAGUUCGUGUCACUCUACCUGCAUAUCAUUGCAGGGAAUGAAGGUCUAUUAAUUAAUUGAAAAUCGAGUAAGAAAUAGAUAUUAACAUGAUGAUGACAAAGCAGUGAUUGUUUAUAGGAAGCGAGGGUCUAAUUACAAAGUUUAACAACGAUUUCAUUUCGAAUAUCUUCGUGUCCAAUGAUGGAGACGACAAGAAGUGGACCCGUAGGCCCUUACUUUCAAUUGAAACGUCUGGAAUUAUACAAGCAUAGAUAUAUUGAACAAUAUAUUGUUCAAUAUAUCUAUGAUACAAGUAACCAUUCCAAUUCCGUUAGUAUUAAUCCACCUGUUGCAAUCUCUGAUACUUCUAUCCUUUGUAGUGAGCAGGUUGAAGUUCUCCUCCAAAAUGCCUCGGCUUGAUAUAGGCAAGUUUUUUAUUCCAAAU